UCUAGGUGUAUGGUUUCCUCUUUGAAACUCAUUGUGAAUUCUAGGCCACUUAGCUAUUGAAAAUGGUCACCCCUCGCUUCCAUAUACAAAGUUGUUAGCUUGGUUUUAUUUUCACAUACAGUGGCCUUUUAAACGGUGCAAAGCGGACGACAUUGCAUUUCCUAGCCUGCUACGUACACUGGAACAUAAGAGAUAUACGGAUUGCUUGAAACACUGGUCAAAAACUGAUAGUGACAGAACAGACCCUUCUUCAAAAAGAUUGACUCUAAAUCAUGAAAAUGAAAACUGCUGUUGGUGCAUUCAUCUUAAUAGUCUUUGUCACCUAUCAAAGUGUUAACGCCGGUCGUUUUGAAAGUGUUGAAGUUUUUUCACAGCACUCUUGCCCUGAUUUGGUGGAAACUGGAAAGCUCUACAGGGCUCUACGCCCCGAUGAAAACUGUGAUAAGAAUAGCGGGUUGGUCCCUAAAGAUCCUUCUGCCAAACACAGUGUAGACUCUCAUGUUAGCGAAAGAGAAAAAGACACUCAGUAUAUCUCUUUGUCGACGUCUAAAGACGUUACCAAUAGAUAUAAGAAUAAGGAGAAACCUAGGAUAGUCGAAGUGCUAGUUAAAGAUCUUCCUGAAUCUUGUAAGAUUAUAAACCUAAAUGAUAAGAACGUUCGUCUGAAGGAAAAUCUUAGUAGUCUAUCUAUUAAGAACGCAUUGAGAGAUUGCGAAGUGCUGCUUGAUAGUAAGUUUCCCAUACCCUGUAAAGAAAUAGAUCCCGAUGAGGACGACAGUCAACGGCAGUUUAAUGAGGAGAUGAUACUUGCGAUUAACAAUCCAACAUGCUUCAAACUGCUCACUGAUUUAAAGGCCUCUAAACGCCUUGAAUGGUCUAAAAACGAGAUCACGAUCCCUAAACUGCCGAAUAUCAUGUUCCCGAGUGACAAAAGCCGCAAACUCAAAACCGUCUUCAAAAUCAGGAAAUUUUGUAAGCAGCUCAUGAAAAAAUUUCCAAAAUUUGGUUGACAGCAUGUAUUCUAAUCAACUUACUAACUGAUGGUAUAUAGCCUAGCUCUAAAUUGCACAUUAUUCAAUCUGUUGUGUACUGACUCUACUGAGAUUUGCCUAUCAAUGAUCAAUGAUAUCUUC
Long non-coding RNA from Halichondria panicea, 1133 nucleotides. RefSeq lists it as uncharacterized. Lineage: Eukaryota; Metazoa; Porifera; Demospongiae; Suberitida; Halichondriidae. The record is from RefSeq and is a predicted model, not a curated record. The transcript has 2 exons.